RNAcentral lists this ribosomal RNA (429 nucleotides) under Gemmatimonadota bacterium. Its description in RNAcentral is "Gemmatimonadetes bacterium partial 16S ribosomal RNA". It matches the Rfam family "Bacterial small subunit ribosomal RNA", at positions 355 to 776 of the family's 1533-position model. The record is from RNAcentral. Lineage: Bacteria; Pseudomonadati; Gemmatimonadota.
UAGGGAAUCUUCGGCAAUGGACGAAAGUCUGACCGAGCAACGCCGCGUGAGUGAAGAAGGUUUUCUGAUCGUAAAACUCUGUUGUUAGAGAAGAACAAGGACGUUAGUAACUGAACGUCCCCUGACGGUAUCUAACCAGAAAGCCACGGCUAACUACGUGCCAGCAGCCGCGGUAAUACGUAGGUGGCAAGCGUUGUCCGGUUUUAUUGGGCGUAAAGCGAGCGCAGGCGGUUUCUUAAGUCUGAUGUGAAAGCCCCCGGCUCAUCCGGUGAGGGUCAUUGGAAAAUGGGAGACUUGAGUGCAGAAGAGGAGAGUGGAAGUCCAUGUGUAGCGGUGAAAUGCGUAGAUAUAUGGAGGAACACCAGUGGCGAAGGCGGCUCUCUGGUCUGUAACUGACGCUGAGGAUCGAAAGCGUGGGGAGCAAACAGG